This is an RNA transcript of Tarenaya hassleriana, 1470 nucleotides long. It is a transcript of the gene named SPX domain-containing protein 2, with no coding region annotated. Lineage: Eukaryota; Viridiplantae; Streptophyta; Magnoliopsida; Brassicales; Cleomaceae. The transcript has 4 exons. The record is from RefSeq and is a predicted model, not a curated record.
GCUCCAAAAAAGCAAGGAAUAUUCUACAAUUUACGAUACAUGAACAUCACCCGUCUUCCUCCACCAAAUCUCUCGAUUUCUCGUUUCGCUCUUCGCUUUUUCCAUUUCUCGGCAACCAAACAGACCCAAACACAGAGAUCACAAGGGAAACCAGACGAAGAAGGAAUUGCCAUGAAAUUCGGUAAGAGCCUCAGCAACCAGAUCGAGGAGACGUUGCCUGAAUGGCGAGACAACUUUCUCUCUUACAAGGAGCUUAAGAAGAAGCUGAAACUCAUGGAGCCCAACGGCGGGGAGAAUCGGCCGAAUAAACGGCUGAGAUCGGCGGAGUCGAAUCCCGGGGAAGGAGAUCGUUCUGUGGACGCCGCCGGGGACUGGAUGACGAAGGAGGUGACGGAUUUCAUUCGGCUUCUCGAGGACGAGCUUGAGAAAUUCAACUCGUUCUUUGUCGAGAAAGAGGAAGAGUACAUCAUCAGAUUGAAGGAAUUGAAAGAUCAUGUGGUGAAGGCGAAGGACUCGGACGAGGAGUUGAUCAAGAUCAAGAAAGAGAUUGUGGAUUUCCAUGGAGAAAUGGUCCUGUUGUUGAACUAUAGUGCUCUGAACUAUACUGGGCUAGUUAAGAUUCUCAAGAAGUAUGACAAGAGAACCGGGGCUCUGGUCCGGUUGCCCUUCAUCCAGAGGGUUCUUCAACAGCCAUUCUUCACCACCGACCUCCUCAACAAAUUUAUCAAAGAAUGCGAGGCCAUGCUCGAAUACCUCUUCCCUUCCACCGGGAGCUUUUUACCUGAUGAGGCUAGGAACUGGGAUGGAGAAGAGGUAGAAGAAGAAGAAGAGCCAACAACUUCAGGGAUGGUCAAGGCAACAAAUGAUAACCUUAAACGAAUCCCCAAAGAGCUCUCGGAGAUCGAGUACAUGGAGAGCUUGUACAUGAAGGGUGCGGUAUCGGCGUUGAGGGUAUUAAAGGAAAUCCGCAGUGGCAGCUCCACCGUUAGCGUCUUCUCAUUGCCGCCAUUGCAGGCGAGUGGUUUAGAAGAUGAUUCAUGGAAGAAGAAAGUUCCCGUCCUCGAACAAGCAGCCAAAUGAGUGAUAGAGAGUUCUUCUUACGUAGCAAGACGCGGUUUUAUCGUAUGUACCGCUCACAGGUGUUAAAUGAUGUUUUACUGAAUCGUAUAUCAUCACCAAGUGAACUCUCUCUUCAGCUAAAAAAAAAAACAGAUUCAGACUCGUGUGUAUGAGUUUGGGGUUUGAUCUGCAGGCGCCUAAGCCCAACUACGGCCCGAACGUUAGGCGCGCCUGAUGGUCAGGUUCGGUGGGAGACUGUUAAGGGUGGGUGAUGGUCAGUUCGUCUCCGUUUGUAACGGUAGGUAAUCACGGGUUCCAAUGUAUCAAAAAAAAAAAAUAUAGGUUUUGGCAGCGCGAACGGACCGCCCAUAUGGCUUACUCCUUAAUCGAGUAUGGGCGCUAAGCACAAGA